AUUGAACGCUGGCGGAAUGCUUUACACAUGCAAGUCGAACGGCAGCACGGACUUCGGUCUGGUGGCGAGUGGCGAACGGGUGAGUAAUGUAUCGGAACGUGCCCAGUCGUGGGGGAUAACGUAGUGAAAAUUACGCUAAUACCGCAUACGAUCUAUGGAUGAAAGCGGGGGAUCGCAAGACGUCGCGCGAUUGGAGCGGCCGAUAUCAGAUUAGGUAGUUGGUGGGGUAAAGGCCCACCAAGCCAACGAUCUGUAGCUGGUCUGAGAGGACGACCAGCCACACUGGAACUGGCACACGGUCCAGACUCCUACGGGAGGCAGCAGUGGGGAACUCUGGACAAUGGGCGAAAGCCUGAUCCAGCCAUUCCGCGUGCAGGAUGAAGGCCCUCGGGUUGUAAACUGCUUUUGUACAGAACGAAAAGGUUUCUACUAAUACUAGGAGCUCAUGACGGUACUGUAAGAAUAAGCACCGGCUAACUACGUGCCAGCCGCCGCUGUAA
Molecule: ribosomal RNA, 500 nt
Filed under: uncultured bacterium
Lineage: Bacteria
Description: partial 16S ribosomal RNA
Rfam family: Bacterial small subunit ribosomal RNA
Source: RNAcentral